ACACCAGUUGUAGAAAAGACUCCAGAAUAUCACCAAAAAAAGAAUUGGGCAAUUUGAAGUCUUUGAUGAAUCAUCAUUCCAGCUUCCAAAUCUCCUGUGAGGAUGAGGAUCUCUGAGCUCACACCUCCUCACCCAGUUCACCCUCUGCCUGCUGGAUGCACACUGCAGAACUGGAACUAACAGAGAAGCCGUCCCUGUACAGGAUACUGAGAAGACUGGCAGGACUUUUUGGUCAUUGAAAUGUAACUAUGACAUCUAUCCAAAAGUGCCACUGGAAGAAUGAGGAGUGGAAUAGAACAAAAGCCACUACAUUUAUGAACAAGCAGAUGGUACCUGGGAGCCUGACUUAGCCAUACUGGAGGUGAAGUGAAGCCUGAUCUGUGGAAAGCUGGGAGUGGCAGUGCAGCACCUGCUCAGGUGCCACCUGUGUGACACUGUCAGGAGUCUUCCAAGCUGCCAGCGAGGGAGAGGAGGAUCAGUUUGCAUAGCCUGAGGUAAUGAUGGCUUUGGUGCAGAGGAUGGGACGUGCUGGGAUGUACCAUAGGGUAGAGUCAGCUCGCUAAUUCAUACUGUGAAGAAGCUGUGAAAGUGGAAAAUGGAAAGUACCUCCUUGCCUUGGUGAAGAAUUAAAGAAUUAAGGCAGGCAGCAGCAGCCUGUGGCCAGGGUGCCACAAGAGAGAAGUUGCAGUCAGAGGCCGCUGCUCUUCCCACCUGUGGAUCCCCUUUUUCCCCAGAUGAUGCUGAUACAAGUCAGAAGGAGAGGCCUCCAUGGCCCACACCAGGAUAUCUCCUUUAUUUGUUCAGGUGACAGCAUUUCCUGUGCAAAGGACUGCCAAGUAGCUGCUUAUGAAUGCUGCUCCAAGGCUGUGGGCUGCUCCCCAGCGUGGUGAGUGCAUCGCCCUGCUCGUGUGAGGCUAAUCCAGCAGCAAGCCCUCAGAGGACACCAGUGACUCUGCCUGAUGCUCCCCUGUCCCAUCCUCAGCACAUGAUGCCUUAAAAAUUCUUGGACUCACACGAGGUUAAACUGCUGCUACAUCACAGUGCCCUUCAUCUUCUGGAAUGAGCUUCAAACACCAUUAUACAAAUGCCUGGCUUGUUUGGUUCACAGCUGCGUUUACAGUUGCUUCAAGGACAAGGAACAACACUUUCCAGUGAUGCUUUUGUUGCCUCAGUGUUGGGGUCACAAAUAAUUCCUGUCUGGAUUCACACACCGGCCUUGGAGCAGCAGUGGAGACUCCAGUCCUGGCCAGGAGAGCACAACCCCAGCCAUGUGAGUAAGAGACCCCCUGCACACACAGCACCCCUUGGGCACUGCCUGGGGGACACUAUGCCUCCCUCCAAGGACACUUUUUAACCUUAAGUUGGCACCCUCAGCACCUGCACUGCCAGGCCAAACUGCUGGUUUGCUCACAGGCUGUUAAUAUUUUUUAAUGUUUCUGUCUUAAUCUAUUUUGUAUUGCCAUUUAUUUAUUUUUUU
This is a non-coding RNA of Cyanistes caeruleus (blue tit), 1477 nucleotides long. The record is from RefSeq and is a predicted model, not a curated record. NCBI's taxonomy places the organism in Eukaryota, Metazoa, Chordata, Aves, Passeriformes, Paridae.